This 1468-nucleotide ribosomal RNA is filed under the name Candidatus Peregrinibacteria bacterium RIFOXYA12_FULL_33_12. RNAcentral's name for it is "bacterial SSU rRNA". It matches the Rfam family "Bacterial small subunit ribosomal RNA". RNAcentral also lists the same sequence under 2 other names. Lineage: Bacteria; Candidatus Peregrinibacteriota. The record is from RNAcentral.
UUAUUAUGAAGAGUUUGAUCCUGGCUCAGGAUUAACGCUGGCGGUGUGUCUAAUACAUGCAAGUCGAGCGACCCGCAAGGGGAGCGGCGGACGGGUGCGUAACACGUUGGAACGCGCCUCAUACUCAGGGAUAGCUCCGCGAAAGCGGAAUUAAUACCGGAUGGUCCCGCAAGGGUAAAGCUACGGCGGUAUGAGAGCGGCCUGCGGCCUAUCAGCUAGUUGGUGAGGUAAUGGCUCACCAAGGCUAUGACGGGUAGCUGGUCUGAGAGGAUGAUCAGCCACAAUGGGACUGAGACAAGGCCCAUACUCCUACGGGAGGCAGCAGUAGGGAAUCUUUCGCAAUGGGCGCAAGCCUGACGAAGCAACACCGCGUGAUCGAUGAAGUUCUUUUGAAUGUAAAGAUCUUUUCUGGGGGAAGAAUUAUGACGGUACCCUAGGAAUAAGCACCGGCUAACUCCGUGCCAGCAGCCGCGGUAAUACGGGGGGUGCAAGCGUUAUCCGAAAUCAUUGGGCGUAAAGCGUCUGUAGGUGGUUAAUUAAGUCGAGUGUUAAAUCUUCUGGCUCAACCAGAAAACAAUGCCCGAAACUGAUUUUCUUGAGUCCUUGAGAGGUAUGCGGAAUUCUGCAUGUAGGGAUAAAAUCCGUAGAUAUGCAGAGGAACACCAAAAGCGAAGGCAGCAUACUGGCAAGGUACUGACACUUAGAGACGAAAGCGUGGGGAGCAAACGGGAUUAGAUACCCCGGUAGUCCACGCUGUAAACUAUGGGUGCUAGGUGUUUGAAGGGACUCGGUUCCCUUUGAGUGCCGACGCUAACGCAUUAAGCACCCCGCCUGAGGAGUACGGCCGCAAGGCUAAAACUCAAAGGAAUAGACGGGGGCCCACACAAGCGGUGGAGCAUGUGGUUCAAUUCGACAGUAAACGCGGAACCUUACCCAGGCUUGACAUCCCAAGAACCCUGCAGAAAUGUAGGGGUGCCGCAAGGAACUUGGUGACAGGUGCUGCAUGGUUGUCGUCAGCUCGUGCCUUGAGGUGUUCGGUUAAGUCCGUAAACGAGCGCAACCCCUGUUGUAUGUUGUAUUUUUCAUACAAGACUGCCUAGUUUAACUAGGAGGAAGGUAGGGAUGACGUCAAAUCAGCAUGGCCCUUAUGCUUGGGGCGACACACGUGCUACAAUGGCCAGUACAGAGGGUAGCAAUAUGGUAACAUGGAGCCAAUCCCUAAAACUGGUCAAAGUUCGGAUUGAGGGCUGCAACUCGCCCUCAUGAAGCUGGAAUCGCUAGUAACCGUAAGUCAGCCAUAUUACGGUGAAUCCGUUCCUGGGCCUUGUACUCACCGCCCGUCAAGUCAUGAAAGGUGGAAGCACCCGAAGCCCCCGCAAUUUGCGGGGUCCACGGUGAAAUCACUGAUUGGGACUAAGUCGUAACAAGGUAUCUGUAGGAGAACCUGCGGAUGGAACAUUCCCUUAUA